GAUGAACGCUGGCGGCGUGCCUAAUACAUGCAAGUCGAGCGAACGGACGAGAAGCUUGCUUCUCUGAUGUUAGCGGCGGACGGGUGAGUAACACGUGGAUAACCUACCUAUAAGACUGGGAUAACUUCGGGAAACCGGAGCUAAUACCGGAUAAUAUUUUGAACCGCAUGGUUCAAAAGUGAAAGACGGUCUUGCUGGCACUUAUAGAUGGAUCCGCGCUGCAUUAGCUAGUUGGUAAGGUAACGGCUUACCAAGGCAACGAUGCAUAGCCGACCUGAGAGGGUGAUCGGCCACACUGGAACGGAGACACGGUCAAGACUCCUAAGGGAGGCAGCAGUAGGGAAUCUUCCGCAAUGGGCGAAAGCCUGACGGAGCAACGCCGCGUGAGUGAUGAAGGUCUUCGGAUCGUAAAACUCUGUUAUUAGGGAAGAACAUAUGUGUAAGUAACUGUGCACAUCUUGACGGUACCUAAUCAGAAAGCCACGGCUAACUACGUG
This 497-nucleotide ribosomal RNA is filed under the name uncultured bacterium. Its description in RNAcentral is "partial 16S ribosomal RNA". It matches the Rfam family "Bacterial small subunit ribosomal RNA", at positions 28 to 507 of the family's 1533-position model. The record is from RNAcentral.